Cloeon dipterum is the source of this 725-nucleotide long non-coding RNA. RefSeq lists it as uncharacterized. The transcript is spliced from 4 exons. NCBI's taxonomy places the organism in Eukaryota, Metazoa, Arthropoda, Insecta, Ephemeroptera, Baetidae. The record is from RefSeq and is a predicted model, not a curated record.
UCAGAUAAGACCUUAUAGUUUAUAGAUUUCGAUAUAAAUAAAUUUUACUUCUUUAUGCGUCCGGUCGUUGAGAAAAAAGAGAAGUGUGUUACAGCCUUAUAAUUACAGAGGACAGUAAGGGAAUAUUAUAAGGAAAAAGUACACAUUUACAUUUCACCGCGAAUUAAAUUUCUUGCCACCAAUACUUUCUCUCGAGAGGUCGUGUGUUGAUAUUUCAGAGCUUAUCUCAUAAUCAGAUAAGCUCUCUAGAGAAAUCUCCUCCCAGGUGAUUUCGCGGUGUGACUCAACGGCCUCAGCUCAUGAUCACAGACUUCUUAUCUCGGUUGUUUGUUUACUAAUUGUGAAUAACAUUUAUGAAAUAGCUUUUUAAAAGAGAUUUUACUUCCGUUUCUUGACUCAACUGAAAGCGUUCAGAUAGAAAUAAAAAGUCUAAGACAAAAUAUUGCGUCCCUUACUAGGCCGGGAAAUGGAGAAAAUAAAGUGCGGAUUAGGGGUGUUUGACGGUUCCACUAGUCCGGCAAGGGUGUGGACGCUGGUGGUGCACAAUGAUUUUAGCGAUUUCGGCGACGACAGCCGAACCAGCAACAAAGAAGAUGUUAAAAUCCUCAGAGAAGAGUUCUCAAGGAGAAAUUGUGAGUUUAGAGAGAUGGCCUCGAAAUCGAGAGACGAGAUAUUGGGUGUCCUCAGCCAGGAGAACAAGUUGUACGAAAUAUUCGGAGCGGACG